GACGAACGCUGGCGGCGUGCUUAACACAUGCAAGUCGAACGGAAAGGCCCUGCUUUUGUGGGGUGCUCAAGUGGCGAACGGGUGAGUAACACGUGAGUAACCUGCCCUUGACUUUGGGAUAACUUCAGGAAACUGGGGCUAAUACCGGAUAGGAGCUCCUGCUGCAUGGUGGGGGUUGGAAAGUUUCGGCGGUUGGGGAUGGACUCGCGGCUUAUCAGCUUGUUGGUGGGGUAGUGGCUUACCAAGGCUUUGACGGGUAGCCGGCCUGAGAGGGUGACCGACCACAUUGGGACUGAGAUACGGCCCAGACUCCUACGGGAGGCAGCAGUGGGGAAUAUUGCACAAUGGGCGGAAGCCUGAUGCAGCAACGCCGCGUGCGGGAUGACGGCCUUCGGGUUGUAAACCGCUUUCGCCUGUGACGAAGCGUGAGUGACGGUAAUGGGUAAAGAAGCACCGGCUAACUACGUG
Molecule: ribosomal RNA, 468 nt
Filed under: uncultured bacterium
Lineage: Bacteria
Description: partial 16S ribosomal RNA
Rfam family: Bacterial small subunit ribosomal RNA
Source: RNAcentral